RNAcentral lists this ribosomal RNA (1169 nucleotides) under Salmonella enterica subsp. enterica serovar Tallahassee str. 0012. RNAcentral's name for it is "bacterial LSU rRNA". It matches the Rfam family "Bacterial large subunit ribosomal RNA", at positions 1 to 1211 of the family's 2925-position model. Lineage: Bacteria; Pseudomonadati; Pseudomonadota; Gammaproteobacteria; Enterobacterales; Enterobacteriaceae. The record is from RNAcentral.
GGUUAAGCGACUAAGCGUACACGGUGGAUGCCCUGGCAGUCAGAGGCGAUGAAGGGCGUGCUAAUCUGCGAUAAGCGCCGGUAAGGUGAUAUGAACCGUUAUAACCGGCGAUACCCGAAUGGGGAAACCCAGUGUGACUCGUCACACUAUCAUUAACUGAAUCCAUAGGUUAAUGAGGCGAACCGGGGGAACUGAAACAUCUAAGUACCCCGAGGAAAAGAAAUCAACCGAGAUUCCCCCAGUAGCGGCGAGCGAACGGGGAGGAGCCCAGAGCCUGAAUCAGCAUGUGUGUUAGUGGAAGCGUCUGGAAAGGCGCGCGAUACAGGGUGACAGCCCCGUACACAAAAGCGCAUGUGCUGUGAGCUCGAUGAGUAGGGCGGGACACGUGGUAUCCUGUCUGAAUAUGGGGGGACCAUCCUCCAAGGCUAAAUACUCCUGACUGACCGAUAGUGAACCAGUACCGUGAGGGAAAGGCGAAAAGAACCCCGGCGAGGGGAGUGAAAAAGAACCUGAAACCGUGUACGUACAAGCAGUGGGAGCACCCUUUUGGGUGUGACUGCGUACCUUUUGUAUAAUGGGUCAGCGACUUAUAUUCUGUAGCAAGGUUAACCGUAUAGGGGAGCCGGAGGGAAACCGAGUCUUAACCGGGCGUUAAGUUGCAGGGUAUAGACCCGAAACCCGGUGAUCUAGCCAUGGGCAGGUUGAAGGUUGGGUAACACUAACUGGAGGACCGAACCGACUAAUGUUGAAAAAUUAGCGGAUGACCUGUGGCUGGGGGUGAAAGGCCAAUCAAACCGGGAGAUAGCUGGUUCUCCCCGAAAGCUAUUUAGGUAGCGCCUCGUGAAUUCAUCUCCGGGGGUAGAGCACUGUUUCGGCUAGGGGGUCAUCCCGACUUACCAACCCGAUGCAAACUGCGAAUACCGGAGAAUGUUAUCACGGGAGACACACGGCGGGUGCUAACGUCCGUCGUGAAGAGGGAAACAACCCAGACCGCCAGCUAAGGUCCCAAAGUCAUGGUUAAGUGGGAAACGAUGUGGGAAGGCCCAGACAGCCAGGAUGUUGGCUUAGAAGCAGCCAUCAUUUAAAGAAAGCGUAAUAGCUCACUGGUCGAGUCGGCCUGCGCGGAAGAUGUAACGGGGCUAAACCAUGCACCGAAGCUGCGGCAGCGA